This 706-nucleotide long non-coding RNA is filed under the name Homo sapiens (human). RNAcentral describes it as "HSALNT0253040". Lineage: Eukaryota; Metazoa; Chordata; Mammalia; Primates; Hominidae. The record is from RNAcentral.
GAGAAGGCACAGGAAGCAGCUCCAGGAUGCAAGGAUAGAGUCUCUUAUAAUUAUCACAGGAUAUGGAAGAGCAAACAGUACCUUUUUUAAACUUUUCAAAGGUAGUGGUGCAGAAAAGAAACAAUUUGAAGCAAUCAGAGGCAUGUUGCAGCAAAAAUGUUUUGCAGCCAGCAUUUUCAAAAACAUUUGCAUUGGAGGAAAGCUCACCCUGGCAUUGUGGAAUUAGCAAUUAAAGAACAGAAAUAGCUAGACCAUUGUAAAUGAAGUUAAUGAAGACUUUAAAGGCUGAACACUGACAGUGGCAGACGACAGGCAGCGUGGAGUGACUUGGGGGGGUGCAGCACUCAGACUGGCAAUUCUGAUGAUCUAUUCACAUGGUCGGGAGUGACCUGGGACAAAUGGACAAGAAUGGGCUUUUUCCUAGCUACACUGGAGAUGACAGGACUGCCUGUUAAUAUCAGGAUUCUGCUGUCCAGUUUACUGAGCAUCUAAAGAAGAUCUAAGAAGAAUCAAGGACUCCAAAACAUCCCCAGAUAAACAGAGCCAUUUAGAUUUUGCUGAAUUUGCUGUAUAUUUUUACAUUUAGCCUUCUCUUUCCCCAUUCCUUCCUUCAUGUAUGAGCCCCUGUACUCAUAAACCUGUGUGAAUUUAUUCAUCUUCCUCUUCCCACCUGAGUUAUUGAUCUGUGAAUCUGCAAGUUUGAAUU